Molecule: ribosomal RNA, 47 nt
Filed under: Pyrenochaeta sp.
Lineage: Eukaryota; Fungi; Ascomycota; Dothideomycetes; Pleosporales; Cucurbitariaceae
Also listed under: 6 other names
Description: partial 28S ribosomal RNA
Source: RNAcentral
UCUUGACCUCGGAUCAGGUAGGGAUACCCGCUGAACUUAAGCAUAUC